Molecule: ribosomal RNA, 404 nt
Filed under: uncultured bacterium
Lineage: Bacteria
Description: bacterial SSU rRNA
Rfam family: Bacterial small subunit ribosomal RNA
Source: RNAcentral
UGGGGAAUAUUGCACAAUGGGCGCAAGCCUGAUGCAGCGACGCCGCGUGAAGGAUGAAGUAUUUCGGUAUGUAAACUUCUAUCAGCAGGGAAGAAAACGACGGUACCUGACUAAGAAGCCCCGGCUAACUACGUGCCAGCAGCCGCGGUAAUACGUAGGGGGCAAGCGUUAUCCGGAUUUACUGGGUGUAAAGGGAGCGUAGAUGGCACUGCAAGUCUGAAGUGAAAGCCCGGGGCUUAACCCCGGGACUGCUUUGGAAACUGUGGAGCUAGAGUGCAGGAGAGGUAAGCGGAAUUCCUAGUGUAGCGGUGAAAUGCGUAGAUAUUAGGAGGAACACCGGUGGCGAAGGCGGCUUACUGGACUGUAACUGACAUUGAGGCUCGAAAGCGUGGGGAGCAAACAGG